AUUGAACGCUAGCGGGAUGCUUUACACAUGCAAGUCGAACGGCAGCGCGGACUUCGGUCUGGCGGCGAGUGGCGAACGGGUGAGUAAUGUAUCGGAACGUGCCCAGUAGCGGGGGAUAACUACGCGAAAGCGUAGCUAAUACCGCAUCCGCCCUACGGGGGAACGCAAGGGAUCGUAAGACCUUGCACUAUUUGCGCGGCCGAUAUCGGAUUAGCUAGUUGGUGAGGUAACGGCUCACCAAGGCGACGAUCCGUAGCUGGUGUGAGAGGACGACCAGCCACACUGGGACUGAGACACGGCCCAGACUCCUACGGGAGGCAGCAGUGGGGAAUUUUGGACAAUGGGGGAAACCCUGAUCCAGCCAUCCCGCGUGUGCGAUGAAGGCCUUCGGGUUGUAAAGCACCUUUGGCAGGAAAGAAACGAUGCGGGCUAAUACCCCGUGGAACUGACGGUACCUGCAGAAUAAGCACCGGCUAACUACGUG
Molecule: ribosomal RNA, 484 nt
Filed under: uncultured bacterium
Lineage: Bacteria
Description: partial 16S ribosomal RNA
Rfam family: Bacterial small subunit ribosomal RNA
Source: RNAcentral